GUCCAAAAGCGGGAAUCGAACCCACAACCUUCUGCUUACCGGGCAGGUGCCAUGUCCACUAGGCUACCCUGGA
Non-coding RNA from Cordylochernes scorpioides, 73 nucleotides. The record is from the annotation of a GenBank genome assembly. NCBI's taxonomy places the organism in Eukaryota, Metazoa, Arthropoda, Arachnida, Pseudoscorpiones, Chernetidae.